RNAcentral lists this unclassified non-coding RNA (253 nucleotides) under uncultured Gemmatimonadota bacterium. RNAcentral describes it as "uncultured Gemmatimonadetes bacterium contains 16S-23S intergenic spacer region". It matches the Rfam family "Bacterial small subunit ribosomal RNA", at positions 524 to 776 of the family's 1533-position model. Lineage: Bacteria; Pseudomonadati; Gemmatimonadota. The record is from RNAcentral.
AACGGAGGGCGCAAGCGUUGUUCGGAAUCACUGGGCGUAAAGCGCGCGUAGGCGGAGCGAGAAGUCGGCGGUGAAAGUCCGGGGCUCAACCCCGGAAUGGCCGCCGAAACUCUCACUCUAGGGACCGGUAGAGGCCGGUGGAAUUCCCGGAGUAGCGGUGGAAUGCGUAGAUAUCGGGAAGAACACCUGUGGCGAAGGCGACCGGCUGGGCCGGAUCCGACGCUGAGGCGCGAAAGCGUGGGGAGCAAACAGG